Long non-coding RNA from Oreochromis aureus, 596 nucleotides. Lineage: Eukaryota; Metazoa; Chordata; Actinopteri; Cichliformes; Cichlidae. The record is from Ensembl.
AUGACGUCACAUAUAAACAGGAAAUAACGAUAGUGAGCGGUGCUGUGGAAAUCACGACCUGUCGGAUUUAAAACAUUAAGACACAAAUACAAUGUAAAGCUAUCAGUAACAGAGUUAAGACGGACGAAGUCUGAGUUUAGUCCCAGUAGGACCAAACGAUGUGUCGUUUUCCCAGCUCCAGGAAAUCAGCAGGCUCAAUGGUCCAGAAUGGCACAGAUCAGGUCCUGCAGCACGUCAAACCUGUGAGCUCAUCACGCUGCUACACUGCAGGGAAAGAUGAGUACUGUUCAUCGAUCAUGAAAUUCCAAGUUUGUAAAAGAAAGGUCCGCACAUGCCUUCCAAGGUAUGGCUGCAUCUUCCUAUUCUUGGUCGUGUUUGCCUUAAGCUUCGUGAUAGAUUUCAUGGACAUCCUGGAGGUUUGCUCCCUUAUGAAUGAGGAGACACGCUGAAGCUCACUCACCAGAUAGCUUCCAACUGUCUUUACUUGUAAGCACAAUCAAUGAAGAACAGUUACAACCCACUCACUGAAUAAUGAUUUGUUUUCACAAUCUAAGAAGAGAAGGUUUACAUGCUCCAUAAUAUAGGCUGCAUCAAAA